Molecule: transfer-messenger RNA, 355 nt
Filed under: Candidatus Bipolaricaulota bacterium
Lineage: Bacteria; Candidatus Bipolaricaulota
Description: partial transfer-messenger RNA
Rfam family: transfer-messenger RNA
About the family: Bacterial tmRNA, also known as 10Sa RNA or SsrA, is named for its dual tRNA and mRNA-like properties. Its role is to liberate the mRNA from a stalled ribosome.
Source: RNAcentral
GGGGGUGAACGGAUUCGACGGGAAUGCGGAAGUCCGGCGGCAAGCGGAGUUCCCGCCAUCUCCUCAAGGGCGGACCUGCCGAGAUAGAGCGGCGGGACCGACCUGAAAAAUGGCGGAUUCACCAAUAAAUGCCGACAACUUGGCAUUCGCCGUCCCCUCCUAUAACUGAGUGAGGGGCCGCUCCUAAAGCCCUCGCCCGUGGGGCUUCAGGGGCGUCGACUGAGCGGGCUUGCCUCUCCCCUCUCGCCCGGGAGGGGGAGGGACGAAACUAGACUAGAGGGCUCGGGCCGUAAGAUCCUGUCCCAUGGGAGCUUACGGUCUCAGAGGAAAACAUGGGACUAAGCUUGUAGAAGUC